UACGAAGGGGACUAGCGUUGUUCGGAAUUACUGGGCGUAAAGCGUGCGCAGGCGGUGAUGUAAGACAGUUGUGAAAUCCCCGGGCUCAACCUGGGAACUGCAUCUGUGACUGCAUCGCUGGAGUGCGGCAGAGGGGGAUGGAAUUCCGCGUGUAGCAGUGAAAUGCGUAGAUAUGCGGAGGAACACCGAUGGCGAAGGCAAUCCCCUGGGCCUGCACUGACGCUCAUGCACGAAAGCGUGGGGAGCAAACAGG
This 253-nucleotide ribosomal RNA is filed under the name uncultured bacterium. Its description in RNAcentral is "partial 16S ribosomal RNA". It matches the Rfam family "Bacterial small subunit ribosomal RNA", at positions 524 to 776 of the family's 1533-position model. The record is from RNAcentral.